Molecule: ribosomal RNA, 232 nt
Filed under: uncultured bacterium
Lineage: Bacteria
Description: partial 16S ribosomal RNA
Rfam family: Bacterial small subunit ribosomal RNA
Source: RNAcentral
GGGUAGCGGAACACGUACAGAACCUUCCUUUAAGCGGGGGAUAGCCCGGAGAAAUCCGGAUUAAUACCCCAUAGUAAUGCUAAGUGGCAUCACUUGAUAUUUAAAGAUUUAUCACUUAGAGAUGGCUGUGCGGCUGAUUAGGUAGUUGGUGCGGGUAAAGGCCCACCAAGCCAGCGAUCAGUAACUGGCCUGAGAGGGCGAUCGGUCACACCGGAACUGAGACACGGUCCGG